Molecule: non-coding RNA, 29 nt
Filed under: Rattus norvegicus (Norway rat)
Lineage: Eukaryota; Metazoa; Chordata; Mammalia; Rodentia; Muridae
Source: RNAcentral
UUCCUUUUCGUGGUGAUACCGUCCUGGUA